AUGAAUGUCCCACCAUAUGAGGCAUCAACUAUCCAUCGAUGUUCUUCUAAUAGACCAUCAUAAAAGUACUAAAUUAGUUGCCAUUUAGGUACAGCAUGGUGUGGAUAUUUAUGAAUGAGGUCUUUAAAUCUUUUUCUAUGUUUCAUUAAAUAUCUCCCCAUCCAUUUAGAAAAAAUGGAUGAUGGCUUUUCUAAUAGGUUUUUUCAAUUGAAAAGAAUUUCUUAAGGAAUUUGCUUUGGAGUUGGUCC
This 248-nucleotide long non-coding RNA is filed under the name Elaeis guineensis (African oil palm). Its description in RNAcentral is "long non-coding RNA (EGUI_LNC007074)". The record is from RNAcentral. Lineage: Eukaryota; Viridiplantae; Streptophyta; Magnoliopsida; Arecales; Arecaceae.